RNAcentral lists this ribosomal RNA (114 nucleotides) under Antennarius striatus (striated frogfish). Its description in RNAcentral is "partial 16S rRNA". The record is from RNAcentral. Lineage: Eukaryota; Metazoa; Chordata; Actinopteri; Lophiiformes; Antennariidae.
CACCUUACACCUAGCCCAAAUGUUUGACCUUAAAACAAAUAUUAAAUCACCAAUACCCUAAAUAUAAACCCAAUAAACCAUUCUUUUACCCCAGUAUAGGAGAUAGAAAAGGAA